GUAGCAUCACAUAAGCACUUCGCCACCAAUAAAUUCUCUGAAUAUGAUCUGUGAUAAUUCCAUAUCCUACUUGCAAUGCAAUCACACCAUAAACCAUUUCGACAACACAAAACCACGAAUCUUCAUUCCAAUAUACGUUCCAACAUCAUGGUAACAUUUCAAUGCAAUAAACCGAGAUGCAAUGACACUUUAAAAGAUUUGAUGAAAUCAUAGAAAUAACAUAAAAUUCCAACAAAUAAUUCAAGGAAAGAAAUCAGAUACACCAUAGAAUAGCAUAAAAUUCCCUACCUUACACCGACUUCCUUUUUGUGUUUCUUCUAAGUAGGCGAUCUUUGCCUAUUACGAGGAACUGAAAUGAAACAACAUAAUUUAGGUUUCCUAACCAUGAAAAUUUAUAUAGUUUAUUGUUGUAAAUUUUUAAUUCUCACGUUCUCUAAUCUAUAUCCUACAUGUUUACAGAUCAAAUUAGAAUUGAAUUAAACAAUAUUUGCAAUGCAUAUUAAUUUCCCUAAUUAAUUACCAAACACUAAUUCUUUUGAUUUUCUUAAAGCCUAACCUAUUAACAAAUCCCAAGUGUCCAAAUAACCCAAUUCAUCACAUGUUUACUAAUCUAUUUUUCAAUCAAACCAAAUUAAACAAAGAUUUAUGCUGAUCUUACCAUUAAUAAAAUACUUAACUGAAAAUACUUUAAUCUUUAAUUAAUUGUGAUUUUUAACUAAAACAGGUUUAUAGCUAAUUAUACUCAACUUUUACACAAUUUUUACCAUUAAUUCUAUUCAACAUGCCAUUAGGAACCAAAAUAAACGAAAAUUACAAAAUUAAACACUUGCUUACCUCAAAUCUACACUUUCUCUCUCUAGUUUCUCUCUCUAACCCAAGUUGCUGCAGGUGAAAUGGAGCAAAACGAGCUGCAGCCCCCCUUAUAAAGGGUCUCCAAGCACCCAAGCAUGAGGUGGCAGCCCACAUGGCUGCCACCAAUCCACCCAAGUAGGAGGUGGCAUUCCACUAACCUUAAUUUUCAAAUAUUGCACUUUAGUCCUUCAAGUUAUAAAAAAAUAAAACCCAUAAUUGCCCAUUAGUCCUUUAGGUUUUCAUAACCCUAAUUAGUCCCUAAGAACCUAAUAAGCAUGCUUAGGUCAUUAACUAAUCCCACUUAACCUUAAUCAAAGUUUAAUUCAUAAUUAAACAUGAUUAGCACUAAACUAGUUUUAACAUCUAAUUAAGCAAGCUUAAAGUUAAGUACUAAAAUAGUCAUUAGUACUAGGUGUUACAUCCUCUCCCCCUAACAAAAAUUUCGUCCUCGAAAUUUACAAAAGCGAACCUGUAAAGAGUUCCGGGUACUUGUUUCUCAUAUCUGAUUCCAAUUCCCAUGUAGCUCCUUCCACUCCAUGAUGAUCCCAUGACACUUUCACUAGAGGUAUGAUUUUGGUUCGGAGUACCUUCUCUUUCUUAUCUAAAAUCUGUCUCGGCCCUUCCUCAUACGUUACAUCUUCUUGCAAAUUCAAAUCUUGCCAAUCUAGUACAUGUGUGGUAUCAGGCUCAUACUUCCAUAACAUGGACACAUGGAACACAUCAUGUAUACCUGAUAGUUGUGGCGGUAAGGCUAAUUUGUAUGCUACCUCUCCAAUCUUUUGAAGGAUUUCAAAGGGCCCAACAUAUCUUGGAGCAAGCUUUCCCCUUUUUCCAAAUCGAAAUACACCUUUCCUUGGUGUUACACGUAAAAACACAUGAUCUCCUAUCUGAAAUUCUAGGGGUCUCCUUCUGUGAUCAGCAUAACUUUUCUGUCUACUUUGUGCUGCCAAUAACCUGUCACGUAUUACUCGAAUCUUGUCAGUAGUCUCUUGCACCAAUUCUGGCCCAAUCAGACUAGCUUCACCAGAUUCCAUCCAACACAUAGGAGAUCUACAAGGCCUCCCAUACAGUGCUUCAUAUGGUGCCAUUCCAAUACUGCUUUGGAAGCUAUUAUUGUACGCAAAUUCAAUCAAAGGUAAAUGUUCCACCCAAUUUCCUUUAAAAUCCAUCACAUAUGCUCGUAACAUAUCUUCUAAAAUCUGAAUAACUCUCUCUGAUUGCCCAUCAGUUUGAGGAUGAAAUGCCGAACUCAAUUUGAUUUCAGUUCCCAAGGCUUUUUGUAAGGACUGCCAAAACUGUGAUGUAAAUCUAGGAUCCCUAUCUGAAACAAUAGAGAGUGGUACCCCGUGCAACCUCACAAUUUCUUUCACAUACAAUUUACUCAACACAAUAACUGAAUCAGUGAUCCUCAUUGGUAAGAAAUGUGCUGAUUUCGUUAAUCUAUCAAUUAUCACCCAUACACUAUCCUUACUUUGGGGAGUUCUUGGCAACCCUGUCACAAAGUCCAUCGUCACAUGAUCCCACUUCCAUUCUGCUAUAGGUAGUGGUUGUAACAACCCUGCUGGUUUCUGAUGUUCAACUUUCACUUGUUGACAUGUUAAACACUUGGAAACGAAUUGAGAUAUAUCCCGCUUCAUACCCUGCCACCAAUAUUGACGCUUCAANNNNNNNNNNNNNNNNNNNNNNNNNNNNNNNNNNNNNNNNNNNNNNNNNNNNNNNNNNNNNNNNNNNNNNNNNNNNNNNNNNNNNNNNNNNNNNNNNNNNCACCAAUAUUGACGUUUCAAAUCAUGGGUACAUUUUAGUUUCUCUAGGGUGUACUGUGAAUCGAGAAUGAUGAGCUUCCUUCAUUACCUCCUCCUUCACCUAAGCAUCAUUAGGAACACAAAGUUUAUUCAAGAAAUGAAUCCCACCAUUAGAAUGUAUGUUCCAACCUUCUACUGCAUCACCCGCCAUGAUUUGAGAGCGCAUGCACUCUAACUUUUUAUCUUUCCUUUGAGCUUCAAUAACCUUCUGCAAUAUUGUUGGUUGAGCUACCAAAGUACAAAAACAUGCACCAGAAUCAUGUACAUCAAAGCAAGGAUUGAAUUCACUGAUGUAAUCAUACAUUUUCCACUCAUAAACCACCAACCCAGAUAACACACAUUGAGCCUUUCUACUUAGGGCAUCAGCAACCACAUUAGCUUUUCCUGGAUGAUACUGCAAGGUAAAGUGAAAAUCUUCAAGGGUUUCCAACCAUCUCCUUUGCCUUGCAUUUAGAUCUUUUUGAGAGAAAAUAUACUUCAAACUUUUGUGAUCUGAAAACACUUCAAAAUUUUCACCAUAUAAGUAAUGUCUCCAUAACUUUAAAGCAAAGACUAUUGCUGCGAGUUCAAGAUCAUGGGUAGGAUAGUUCUGCUCAUGGUUCUUCAAUUGCCUAGAAGCAUAAGCAACCACUCUUCCUCUUUGCAUCAAAACACAUCCCAAGCCAUUUUUUGAAGCAUCACAAUAAACUGUAUAUCUUUCGCCACUAAUAGGAGUAAUUAGCACCGGCGCUGUUGUUAGUCUCCUUUUUAGCUGUUGAAAGGAUUCUUCACACCUAUCAUUCCAAUCAAAGUUCACUCCCUUGCGUGUCAAUCUAGUCAUUGGGCAAGCAAUUCGAGAAAAGUUUUCAACAAACCUUUUGUAGUACCCAGCUAGCCCAAGAAAACUACGUACUUCAAAAACAUUCUUGGGUCUUUCCCACUUUGUCACAGCUUCCACUUUUGUUGGAUCCACUGAGAUACCCUCUUGAGAAACCAUGUGCCCCAAAAAUUGAAUUUCUUGCAGCCAAAAGUCACAUUUCUCCAAUUUGGCAUAUAACUGGUUUUCUCUAAGUGUUUGAAGUGCCAUAUGCAAAUGGUGACCGUGCUCUUCUCUACUCUUAGAAUAUAUCAAAAUAUCAUCCACAAAUACCACCACAAAAUGAUCCAAAUAAGGCCGAUAGAUACGAUUCAUCAUGUCCAUGAAUGCAGCUGGAGCAUUAGUUAACCCAAACGGCAUGACCACAAAUUCAUAAUGCCCAUACCUUGUACGAAAUGCAGUCUUUGGAAUAUCUGUUUCUCGUACCCUCAACUGAUGAUAACCAGAUCUUAAAUCAAUCUUUGAAAAAUAGCAAGCCCCACAUAGCUGAUCAAAUAAGUCAUCAAUCCGAGGUAGCGGAUAUUUGUUUUUCACUGUAACUCUGUUCAAUUUUCUGUAAUCCACACAUAACCGCAAGGAUCCAUCCUUCUUCUUUACAAACAAUACUGGAGCACCCCAAGGCGAGGUACUAGGCCGAAUAAACCCUUUAGUUUGCAACUCCUGCAACUGAAUGUUCAAUUCCUUAAGUUCAACUGGAGCCAUCCUAUAUGGAGCUAUUGAUAUUGGAUCUAUACCUGGAUACAAUUCAAUAGAAAAAUCCAUCUCUCUGUGUGGAGGUAAAUAUGGCAAUUCUUUAGGAAAAACAUCAGCAAAUUCACAAACCAUUGGAAUACAAUCUAUAGUUGUCAUCUUUUUGCCUUCUCCCUUCAGAUUAAAAAGAAAGUAGUGUCUGCCAUCCUUUCUUGACCACUUGUCAUCCAGGUUUCGAAUUAGAGGAAUAAAUGUAAGCCUUCUAUCACCAUAGAAACUCAUAUAUGAACCAGAAGAGGUUUGGAAUGUUACUUUCUUCAAAUAACAAUCUAACACAGCAUGAUGUCGGGUAAGCCAAUCCAUCCCCACAAUUACAUCAAACGAUGAAAUAUCAAGAAGAACCAGAUCCAUUGUAACUUCAAGACCCCCAAUAUAAAGUACACAAGCAUGACAUACCCACUUGGUUUCCACCUUACCACCCAUAGGAGUCUCAACACAUAAUGAACAAUGUAGGGGAACAAAUUCUAUGUCUAGCAUGGAGGCAAAUGAUGCAGAAAUAAAAGAGUGGGUAGCUCCUGGAUCAAAUAAAACAUGUGCCCAAGUGCUAAAACAUAAGAGCAUACCUUCCACCAAGGCAUUUGACUCUGCAUUUUGUGACCCUAUUGCAUAAAAUCUCCCUUGUUGUGCUUGCUCUGGCUUCCCUCCAGGCUUCCCUUGUCUAAAGUUUCCUUCCCCUUGAGGUUGCCUUCCUUGAAUUCGUGGGUUCAUUUGCUGAAACUGUCGUUGAGAUGGCUGGAAUGCAAGUCGUUGAAAUUUUGGGCACUCUCUCCUCAGAUGUCCCACCUCACCACAUUCAUAACAUCUCCUUGGUCCCUUAGCUGAAUCUGUAGCCCCACUAUACUGCUCUUGUUUUCUGGGUUGUUGUUGGGGAUGAGUCAUUUUCAGGCACUUGAAAUCAUGUUCUCGUUUUUCUGAACCACCAAACCUAGAAUUUUUGCUUCUCAACCUUUGAGCUUCCUCCAUUUCCCUUUCUAUAACAAGAGCCCUUGCCACAAUCUCACUGUAAGUACGAAGCAUGAAAGGAGCAACCUGUGCUCUAAUGUUCAAUCUCAACCCCUCUUGGAAUUGUUCAGCUCGCAUUUGUUCAUCUGCAACCACAUUUGGAGCAUAUCUAGAUAGUUGUGUAAAUUUUGCUGCAUAUUCAGUCACUGUCAUGUUCCUUUGAACCAAGUGUAUAAAUUCAGCUCUCUUCUGUCUUCUAACGGCCUCUGGAAAGUAAAUAGAUAAAAGCAGCUCCUCAAAUUGCAUCCAAACCAUUUUAGUUACAUCCUGAGUAGUCUUGAUCAUAUCCCACCAGUUGUCUGCUUCAUCCCUCAACAUGAAGGAAGCUAAAGAAACUCUCCUUUCCUCAGGCACUGCCAUUACAUAUAGUAUUUUCUUUAUUUCUUUCAUCCAAUUCUCAGCUUCAAGAAAAUUAGGGCCACCCCGAAAGCUUGGAGGAUUCAAUGCUUUAAAUUCCCGAAUCAAGCUCACAUUCUGGCAUUCUGAACCAGCAACUGGAUGUAUUACAGGUCUUCCCUCAUUUACAUCACCAUGAGAUAUUGGAGAUGAUCUAGUUGUCCGUUUAGGCCUUGUGGUUAAUCUGUCCCUUCCUCUAGGCAUUUUCUCUUAGAAAGGUAUACAAGGAUUAUUAUUAUCAAUACAUCACCUUAUAAGGGUUAUUCAUAAAAUCAAGCACCCUUAACCAAUACAAUCAAACCACUUAUGUCACAUACAAACAUUUGCAAAAUAAACAUGAUAACAACAAUAUCAUAGUAAUGGAUUCUCAAUGAUCAAGCACUCAAACAGGCAACAUGAUCAUAAUUAUUAUAGCUCGGCAUAUUCAAUACAACAAGGAAUGUCAUCAACACAAGAAAAACACAAACCUAACAUCCAUCCAUUAACCUUUCACUUAAUAUCAAUAUAUCAUACACAAUAAAACAAUGUCACAAUAAUAAUGACUCCAACACACCUAUUGGGCUCCCCACCUAUUGUCCACAAUAGGGAUCUAAUCCCUUAUGCUCUGAUACCAAGCUGUCACACCCCAAUUUUUUUUUUUCUUAUUAUUAUUAUUAUUUGUUCUUCAACUAAACAAUUGAUACUCAAAUACAGUAUAAGUGCUCUCAAAAACUUAAAUGUUGAGUUCCUACUUGAAUUUGUUCAAAAAGAGGAUAUGGAAAACCUGUUAUAAGGAGUACAUCCUGUAUUAAACAUUGUGACUAUUAAGUUAACAAAAUAUGUUUUGUUGCACAAAAGAAACUUGUACAACAUUCAUUUACAUAUACCAAACCCCAUUGUUUACUACGGGUAGCCCAUACUACAAGUGUAUCUAACAAAUAUAUACAUUACAUCAUUCCAACAAAAGGUGUAGUCUUGAUACAAAAGGCAUGGCCUCAAAAGACUUUCAAUAUGAGCAAACAGCAUCCAAUCACAGUAAAGCAUUGCUCAAGCAUUCUUUCCUGCAUAGGUCUUCUGACCUGCAUCUAUAGGUGGAAGGAAUAGGGUGAGUUCACAACUCAGUAGGAAAGUUUAUAACCAUCCUAAGUAUACCCUUAAAAACCUUGAAUUAAACGUUUAAUAACAUGCAUGAUAAACAUUUCAUAACAAUUAACAAAUGUGUAAUCAUGUCAAACAUGUAUGCAUGUGUUUGUUGGUUUCAUCAUUGCUUUUCCCCAUCCAUCCUUUCACAACUGAUAAUUUGCUGACUCCCAACAAUCUACACAGCAGAUAUCAAUGCUCCACAAGAUACUCGAUCAAUAUAAUAAUGACUAUUCUGGGACAUCACCCAAGGGCAAGUCAUACCCAGUGUCUUUUGGGACUCAUACCCAAGGGCAGGACCAACCCCGUGUCUUUAGGGACUCAUACCCAAGGGCAGGACCAACCCCGUGUCUUUAGGGACUAAAACCCAGGGGCAGGACCAACCCCAUACACCCACAUCGGAGUGUCUUCCUCGAGGGCUUUAGGGACUUUCACCCAAGGACCCACGGUCCCACAUAAACAAUAUAUCAAAUGAUAAGGCCUGUAGCAUCACAUAAGCACUUCGCCACCAAUAAAUUCUCUGAAUAUGAUCUGUGAUAAUUCCAUAUCCUACUUGCAAUGCAAUCACACCAUAAACCAUUUCGACAACACAAAACCACGAAUCUUCAUUCCAAUAUACGUUCCAACAUCAUGGUAACAUUUCAAUGCAAUAAACCGAGAUGCAAUGACACUUUAAAAGAUUUGAUGAAAUCAUAGAAAUAACAUAAAAUUCCAACAAAUAAUUCAAGGAAAGAAAUCAGAUACACCAUAGAAUAGCAUAAAAUUCCCUACCUUAC
RNAcentral lists this long non-coding RNA (7553 nucleotides) under Vitis vinifera (wine grape). Its description in RNAcentral is "long non-coding RNA (VVIN_LNC007407)". The record is from RNAcentral. Lineage: Eukaryota; Viridiplantae; Streptophyta; Magnoliopsida; Vitales; Vitaceae.